GUAGGGAAUAUUGGACAAUGGGGGCAACCCUGAUCCAGCGACGCCGCGUGAGUGAUGAAGGCCUUCGGGUCGUAAAGCUCUGUUGCAGGGGAAGAACACAAUGACGGUACCCUGCUAGAAAGGAUCGGCGAACUUCGUGCCAGCAGCCGCGGUAAGACGAGGGAUCCUAGCGUUGUUCGGAAUUAUUGGGCGUAAAGCGGGUGCAGGUGGCUUGGUAAGUCAGAUGUGAAAGCCUGGGACUUAACCCCAGAAGUGCAUUUGAUACUGCUGAGCUUGAGUGCUGGAGAGGCUAUUAGAAUUCCUGGUGUAGUGGUGAAAUACGUAGAUAUCAGGAGGAAUACCGGAGGCGAAGGCGGAUAGCUGGCCAGACACUGACACUCAGACCCGAAAGCGUGGGGAUCAAACAGGAUUAGAAACCCUGGUAGUCC
This 428-nucleotide ribosomal RNA is filed under the name uncultured bacterium. RNAcentral's name for it is "partial 16S ribosomal RNA". It matches the Rfam family "Bacterial small subunit ribosomal RNA", at positions 354 to 796 of the family's 1533-position model. The record is from RNAcentral.